This 318-nucleotide ribosomal RNA is filed under the name uncultured eukaryote. RNAcentral's name for it is "partial 18S ribosomal RNA". It matches the Rfam family "Eukaryotic small subunit ribosomal RNA", at positions 1470 to 1796 of the family's 1831-position model. The record is from RNAcentral.
CCCUUAGAUGUUCUGGGCCGCACGCGCGCUACACUGACGGAGGCAGCGAGCGUGUCCUUCGCCGGCAGGUGCGGGCAAUCUUGCGAGUCUCCGUCGUGCUGGGGAUAGAUGGUUGCAAUUGUCGAUCUUGAACGAGGAAUUCCUAGUAAGCGCGAGUCAUCAGCUCGUGCUGAUUACGUCCCUGCCCUUUGUACACACCGCCCGUCGCUGCAACUGAUUGGGUGACCUGGUGAACAUCUUGGACCGGCUCACUCAAUUUCGAGAGGACUGGAAAAGGCCGUAAAUCAGGUACAUCUAGAAAUUGCAAAAGUCGUAACA